RNAcentral lists this ribosomal RNA (331 nucleotides) under uncultured bacterium. Its description in RNAcentral is "bacterial SSU rRNA". It matches the Rfam family "Bacterial small subunit ribosomal RNA", at positions 568 to 898 of the family's 1533-position model. The record is from RNAcentral.
CGUGUAGGCGGCUCAUCAAGUCUGGUGUGAAAACGACAAGGCUUAACCUUGCGUAUGCGCUGGAAACUGGUGGGCUUGAGUUCCUGAGGGGAAGCUGGAAUUCCAGGUGUAGGGGUGAAAUCUGUAGAUAUCUGGAAGAACACCGGUGGCGAAGGCGAGCUUCUAUCAGAGGACUGACGCUGAGGCGCGAAAGCGUGGGGAGCAAACAGGAUUAGAUACCCUGGUAGUCCACGCUGUAAACGAUGUGCACUAGGCGUGGGGCCCGUACGGGUUCUGUGCCGUAGUUAACGUGUUAAGUGCACCGCCUGGGGAGUAUGCUCGCAAGGGUGAA